Molecule: ribosomal RNA, 578 nt
Filed under: uncultured Agaricales
Lineage: Eukaryota; Fungi; Basidiomycota; Agaricomycetes; Agaricales
Description: eukaryotic LSU rRNA
Rfam family: 5.8S ribosomal RNA (bases 215-368)
Source: RNAcentral
GCUGCUGGCUCUUAGAGCAUGUGCACACUCACUCCGUUUUUAACCACCUGUGCACAUACUGUAGGCCUGAAUGGAACUGCUCGAGGAAACUCGGUUUGAGGACUGCUGUGAAAAUCAGCUGUUCUUGCAUUCCAGGUCUAUGUUUUCAACAUAUACUCCAUAACAAGUUAUAGAAUGUUAAUCAUGGGCCUUCUGUGCCUUUAAAAUAUAAUACAACUUUCAACAACGGAUCUCUUGGCUCUCGCAUCGAUGAAGAACGCAGCGAAAUGCGAUAAGUAAUGUGAAUUGCAGAAUUCAGUGAAUCAUCGAAUCUUUGAACGCACCUUGCGCUCCUUGGUAUUCCGAGGAGCAUGCCUGUUUGAGUGUCAUGAAAUUCUCAACCUCUCUGGCUUUUAUCAGCUAAGUNAGGCUUGGAUUGUGGAAGUUGCUGGCUUCUUGGAGAUCAGCUCUUCUUAAAUGUAUUAGCAAAAUUCUUGCUGACCAUCUUUGGUAUGAUAAUUAUCUAUAUCAUUGAGAGUCAGUGGUUCAGGCUCCGCUUGNGAUAUAUCAUAUAUCCAAAGUGUUCGCUCAACCUCUUU